CAGCCGCCGCGGUAACACGAAGGGUGCAAGCGUUAAUCGGAAUUACUGGGCGUAAAGCGUGCGCAGGCGGUUAUAUAAGACAGAUGUGAAAUCCCCGGGCUCAACCUGGGAACUGCAUUUGUGACUGUAUAGCUAGAGUACGGCAGAGGGGGAUGGAAUUCCGCGUGUAGCAGUGAAAUGCGUAGAUAUGCGGAGGAACACCGAUGGCGAAGGCAAUCCCCUGGGCCUGUACUGACGCUCAUGCACGAAAGCGUGGGGAGCAAACAGGAUUAGAUACCCCCGUAGUCCCUGUCUCUUAUAC
Molecule: ribosomal RNA, 301 nt
Filed under: uncultured bacterium
Lineage: Bacteria
Description: partial 16S ribosomal RNA
Rfam family: Bacterial small subunit ribosomal RNA
Source: RNAcentral